Long non-coding RNA from Microplitis demolitor, 581 nucleotides. RefSeq lists it as uncharacterized. Lineage: Eukaryota; Metazoa; Arthropoda; Insecta; Hymenoptera; Braconidae. The record is from RefSeq and is a predicted model, not a curated record. The transcript has 4 exons.
CCCGAUUUUUACAUGAAUAAUCCUCAUACUGGAUGGAUUCUAACAAUAAUAAAAGGAAAGGAUAAUAUUUGAAUCUAGUGUUUUAGUCGAGUUGUUCUUGUAGCUAGAGGACGUUCGUUGCAAUAAGGGGAUUUGUUGCUAAAAAUGUGUAUUAAUCGCCUGCCUUUCGAGAUUGUCGAUCCAAAAUUGGAUCCUUUACCGAUCCCACUGGAGGAGGUUCUCAUCGAAGUACAAGCCCGCUGGUACUUGGAUUCGGACCCGAUUUUUUUGUUCGCGACUAACCAGUGUGAGAUCGAUUGGAUCCAUUCUGUGGCACCACCGUCACCCCCGCUGGAUGCUGAUGGUCGUGUUCUUACCCUAUUAGAGUAUAUGGUGGUCGAUUUGCACUUGCAUUUUACUGAUAAUGCCGAGGUUCGUGACAGUUAUUUAUUGGAAGUUUUCAGAAGUUUCCGUGACGUUCGAGAAAACAGGAAUAAUUUGCGGUUGUUGAACUCAAGUUUAAAAGGUUCCUCUAUCGUCUGGCUAUUCAAAAGGCGUUAAUGGUUGUAAAUUUUGGGGAAUAAAAGAAAAUUUUGAAUGGA